UUCGUUCUUCCCUUCCGAAGUAGCAUCUCCGAUGGGAAUCUGACCUAAUUGCAGCUUGCUAUUGUUCAUCAAUUGAUCUCUCAUCCCUUGAGGAAUUCGAAUUUCUCACGAUAGAUCCAUCAGUGAUAAAUCCAAGCACUCGAUUUCCCCGGAGCUGGUCGUCGGGACUAUUGGUCCGGCGGUGAGCGAAUUGCGAGAGAUGUAGACCAUUUUUAUCCUGCUCCUGCAGUCAGAUGAGUCGUCGGAAUAAUUUGGGGCGAAGAGGGACUUGAAAUCUUCGAGAGCAGCUUUGUGGUCAUCUUCACAGGAACUGGAAGGCAAAGCCACUGCCGCUGCCGAGAUCGUUGUGAUCAUCAUCGUGGUGAAGACCAUGGCAGCUGAUAUCAGUAAUAAUUGUGCUUCCGAGGCCAUUGAUUGUUGUUUUUGGUUGGUUGGUUGGCUGGGCGGGAGCGUCUGAUGUAAACAACUAUAUGUUGAUGAAUUAAAUUUCCU
RNAcentral lists this long non-coding RNA (492 nucleotides) under Linum usitatissimum (flax). RNAcentral describes it as "long non-coding RNA (LUSI_LNC004505)". The record is from RNAcentral. Lineage: Eukaryota; Viridiplantae; Streptophyta; Magnoliopsida; Malpighiales; Linaceae.